GAUGAACGCUAGCUACAGGCUUAACACAUGCAAGUCGCGGGACCGGCGCACGGGUGAGUAACGCGUAUCCAACCUGCCCUUCACCACGGGGUAACCCGGCGAAAGUCGGACUAAUGCCGUAUGGUGAAGGAUGGGGAUGCUUCCGAUUGGCUUGACGGCGGGGGAACGGCCCACCGUGGAUACGGUCGGGAGGGGUUCUGAGAGGAAGGUCCCCUACACUGGAACUGCGACACGGUCCAGACUCCUACGGGAGGCAGCAGUGAGGAAUAUUGGUCAAUGGGCGUAAGCCUGAACCAGCCAAGUAGCGUGCAGGACGACGGCCUAUGGGUUGUAAACUGCUUUUAUGCGGGGAUAGGUACCGCAUGAAUAAGGACCGGCUAAUUCCGUGCCAGCAGCCGCGGUAAUAC
RNAcentral lists this ribosomal RNA (407 nucleotides) under uncultured bacterium. RNAcentral describes it as "partial 16S ribosomal RNA". It matches the Rfam family "Bacterial small subunit ribosomal RNA", at positions 28 to 526 of the family's 1533-position model. The record is from RNAcentral.